CUGUGUUAAUUUUUCCUUAUGCUUCAAAAAUUUCAAUUUCUGAUAGUGGUUCUAAUUCAUUGUUCAGGUUUUAAUAUACGAGAUCAAUGGUGUUAGUUCUUAAAUCUAGAAAUGUAUUCACGUAACUGUUAUCUUUUGGUAAACCAAGGUCUUCCAUAUACUGUGAAAGCGCUUAGCUGGUUUUUUUUUAUAUCAGACAUAUCGGGUCCUUUUAUUAUGGAGGUUGCUGAGGUUUUGGAUUGUCCUCGAUUUCUAUUUAUACGUUGGCAAACUUUCGUCAUUGAUGGGUUGUCUAUAAUUUCUGAAUUUCUGACCCCCCUUUUUCCUCUUAGGUAGAUGAAAUGUGACCAACAGAGUCAACACUACGAGCAAUUGAGUGUUUAUUCGGUAGAUAUUGGUCUAGUUCAUGUUGUUGGAAGCUGUAGAUUCAAUGUUCCUGAAGGCAUAUCACACUUUUUAUAUAGCUAUAGGUCGUUAAGAUAUUUACUGUUUGAUUUGACCCCUGCAAUGUAACGUGAUGCUACUGUAACGUGUGAGAGACGACUGAUUUUCUAGGUUGAGUAAUGUUCUGUCUGGUUCUUGACGGAUUUGAGCGUUGUAUAAAAAGUAAAAUCACAAAAAUACUGAACUCAGAGGAAAAUCAAUUCGGAAAGUCCAUAAUCACAU
Molecule: long non-coding RNA, 666 nt
Filed under: Mytilus galloprovincialis (Mediterranean mussel)
Lineage: Eukaryota; Metazoa; Mollusca; Bivalvia; Mytilida; Mytilidae
Source: RNAcentral